UCGGAUUGCAGGCUGCAACUCGCCUGCAUGAAGUCGGAAUCGCUAGUAAUCGCGGAUCAGCACGCCGCGGUGAAUACGUUCCCGGGCCUUGUACACACCGCCCGUCACACCACGGAAGUUGGGAGUACCCAAAGUAGGUUNCCUAACCGCAAGGAGGGCGCUUCCUAAGGUAAGACCGAUGACUGGGGUGAAGUCGUAACAAGGUAAC
RNAcentral lists this ribosomal RNA (208 nucleotides) under uncultured bacterium. RNAcentral describes it as "partial 16S ribosomal RNA". It matches the Rfam family "Bacterial small subunit ribosomal RNA", at positions 1293 to 1500 of the family's 1533-position model. The record is from RNAcentral.